This 510-nucleotide ribosomal RNA is filed under the name uncultured bacterium. Its description in RNAcentral is "partial 16S ribosomal RNA". It matches the Rfam family "Bacterial small subunit ribosomal RNA", at positions 28 to 507 of the family's 1533-position model. The record is from RNAcentral.
GACGAACGCUGGCGGCGUGCUUAACACAUGCAAGUCGAACGAAGAGCGAUGGAAGCUUGCUUCUAUCAAUCUUAGUGGCGAACGGGUGAGUAACGCGUAAUCAACCUGCCCUUCAGAGGGGGACAACAGUUGGAAACGACUGCUAAUACCGCAUACGAUCUAAACUCGGCAUCGAGGAUAGAUUAAAGGUGGCCUCUACAUGUAAGCUAUCACUGAAGGAGGUGAUUGCGUAUGAUUAGCUAGUUGGAGGGGUAACGGCCCACCAAGGCGAUGAUCAGUAGCAGCUCUGAGAGGAUGAAGGGCAAAACUGGGACUGACACACGGCCCCGACUACUACGGGAGGCAGCACUGGGGCAACUUCCGAAAUGGACGCAAGACUGAAGGAGCCAAACCGGGUGAGUGAUGACGGGCUUCGGGUUGCAAAGCUCUGUUAAUCGGGAAGAAAGGCCUUCUUGCGAAUAGUGGGAACGAUUGACGGUACCGGAACAGAAAGCCACGGCUAACUCCGUG